Long non-coding RNA from Mustela erminea (ermine), 818 nucleotides. RefSeq lists it as uncharacterized. Lineage: Eukaryota; Metazoa; Chordata; Mammalia; Carnivora; Mustelidae. The transcript has 3 exons. The record is from RefSeq and is a predicted model, not a curated record.
UCACAGUUGAUAAUAGUUUUGUUCUUUUCCAAUCUUUUAACUCUAUUUAAUUUUCCUGUCUUCAACCGGAGCCAUCAAUAUGAUAUUUAGCGGAGAUAAUGGCUUGGAGAGAGAGAGCUCUCCUUCUCUACACUGUGGACUGAUACAUAAAGAUGGCGUCUCCGGCUCUCCAAACCCUCACUCCAUCCACUCGGAGCUCCAUGAACUCACCCUUGCCUUUAGCCCUGCAAUCCCACUUGGAGGAAUUUGCUGUGAAAAUGCAACUGUACAAACAUCAAACCAUGGAAGCAUGAGGCUAUCCGCUCCAGUAUUAGUUGUCAUCACAAGUCACGGGAACAACCUCGGUGUCCACAGCACCCUGUCUGAAUAAACCGUGAUAGAGCCACAUCAUGAGUCCCGCGUAGCCAGCAGAAGAAUGAUACAAAUCUGUACACACCGAGAUGGGAGUGAUUUCCAGAGUAUAUUGAAAUGAACAAAGACGUGAUGUGGCGCAUAUCUACUGAGCUAUCUGUUGCAUAAAAAUAAGAGAAGGAGAAAUAAUUUUUACUUUUUUUUGCAAAAUGAACUACUGGAAAACUAGUAUCUGAAAUGAAUAAAAACAGUGACCUUCCAGGUGUAGAUGGGAACAGUGUGAGAGACCAAGAUGGCGGUGCUACCUCCGAGGGUACUUUUUUUUAAUGUAGUUUUGACUUUUGAACCACACAACUGCUUUCAAUUUAAAAGCAAUAAAAUUAAAUCGAAAGGGUGGGGGGAAGGCAAACCUUAAAACUAAACAAACGAAUCUAACUGGGCAUCACAUUAAUAAUAAAAUCGUACAG